GACGAACGCUGGCGGCGCGCUUAACACAUGCAAGUCGAACGGAAAGGCCUGCUUUCCCUUGUGGAUUGCGGGUACUCGAGUGGCGAACGGGUGAGUAACACGUGAGUGAUCUGCCCCCAACUUGGGUAUAAGCCUGGGAAACUGGGUCUAAUUCCCGAUAGGACUGCAGGGUGGUGCCUGUGGUGGAAAACGAUUUUCUAGUGGUUGGGGAUGAGCUCGCGGCCUAUCAGCUUGUUGGUGCGGUAAUGGCCUACCAAGGCGGCGACGGGUAGCCGGCCUGAGAGGGUGGACGGCCACAUUGGGACUGAGAUACGGCCCAGACUCCUACGGGAGGCAGCAGUGGGGAAUAUUGCACAAUGGGCGGAAGCCUGAUGCAGCGACGCCGCGUGGGGGAUGACGGCCUUCGGGUUGUAAACUCCUUUCGACCGCGAGGAAGCCACCUGGUUGGAAGGGUGGUGACGGUAGUGGUAGAAGAAGCACCGGCUAACUACGU
Molecule: ribosomal RNA, 493 nt
Filed under: uncultured bacterium
Lineage: Bacteria
Description: partial 16S ribosomal RNA
Rfam family: Bacterial small subunit ribosomal RNA
Source: RNAcentral